CGAACAGACGAGGAGCUUGCUCCUUUGACGUUAGCGGCGGACGGGUGAGUAACACGUAGGUAACCUACCUAUAAGACUGGGAUAACUUCGGGAAACCGGAGCUAAUACCGGAUAAUAUUUCGAACCGCAUGGUUCGAUAGUGAAAGGUGGCUUUGCUAUCACUUAUAGAUGGACCUGCGCCGUAUUAGCUAGUUGGUAAGGUAACGGCUUACCAAGGCAACGAUACGUAGCCGACCUGAGAGGGUGAUCGGCCACACUGGAACUGAGACACGGCCCAGACUCCUACGGGAGGCAGCAGUAGGGAAUCUUCCGCAAUGGGCGAAAGCCUGACGGAGCAACGCCGCGUGAGUGAUGAAGGUCUUCGGAUCGUAAAACUCUGUUAUUAGGGAAGAACAAACGUGUAAGUAACUGGGCACGUCUUGACGGUACCUAAUCAGAAAGCCACGGCUAACUACGUGCCAGCAGCCGCGGUAAUACGUAGGUGGCAAGCGUUAUCCGGAGUUAUUGGGCGUAAAGCGCGCGUAGGCGGUUUUUUAAGUCUGAUGUGAAAGCCCACGGCUCAACCGUGGAGGGUCAUUGGAAACUGGAAAACUUGAGUGCAGAAGAGGAAAGUGGAAUUCCAUGUGUAGCGGUGAAAUGCGCAGAGAUAUGGAGGAACACCAGUGGCGAAGGCGACUUUCUGGUCUGUAACUGACGCUGAUGUGCGAAAGCGUGGGGAUCAAACAGGA
This 728-nucleotide ribosomal RNA is filed under the name uncultured Staphylococcus sp. RNAcentral's name for it is "bacterial SSU rRNA". It matches the Rfam family "Bacterial small subunit ribosomal RNA", at positions 63 to 777 of the family's 1533-position model. The record is from RNAcentral. Lineage: Bacteria; Bacillati; Bacillota; Bacilli; Caryophanales; Staphylococcaceae.